RNAcentral lists this ribosomal RNA (254 nucleotides) under uncultured bacterium. RNAcentral's name for it is "partial 16S ribosomal RNA". It matches the Rfam family "Bacterial small subunit ribosomal RNA", at positions 524 to 776 of the family's 1533-position model. The record is from RNAcentral.
GACGGAGGGUGCGAGCGUUGUUCGGAUUUAUUGGGCGUAAAGCGUACGUAGGCGGUUAUCUAAGUCUGGUGUUAAAGCUAGAGGCUCAACCUCUGUGAUGCACUGGAAAACUGGGUGACUUGAGAGCGGUAGGGGAAGGUGGAAUUCCGAGUGUAGCGGUGAAAUGCGUAGAUAUUCGGAAGAACACCGGUGGCGAAGGCGACCUUCUGGGCCGUUUCUGACGCUGAGGUACGAAAGCGUGGGGAGCAAACAGG